CAGUAGCCGCGGUAAUACGGAGGGGGCUAGCGUUGUUCGGAAUUACUGGGCGUAAAGCGCACGUAGGCGGCUUUGUAAGUUAGAGGUGAAAGCCCGGAGCUCAACUCCGGAAUUGCCUUUAAGACUGCAGAGCUAGCAGGUGAGAGAGGUGAGUGGAAUUCCGAGUGUAGAGGUGAAAUUCGUAGAUAUUCGGAAGAACACCAGUGGCGAAGGCGGCUCACUGGCUCAUUCUAGACGCUGAGGUGCGAAAGCGUGGGGAGCAAACAGGAUUAGAGACCCCAGUAGUCCCUGUCUCUUAUAC
Molecule: ribosomal RNA, 301 nt
Filed under: uncultured bacterium
Lineage: Bacteria
Description: partial 16S ribosomal RNA
Rfam family: Bacterial small subunit ribosomal RNA
Source: RNAcentral